AUGUCCAAACAGUAAGGUACUAUCUGAAUAUCCCUAAAUAUCUUCUUUUACUACACAAGGAAGAGGAGUUAAACCACCAUGCACACAAAGUCUUUCUGCCUCUGCCCCAGCAUAUUGGAAGGACAGAAGACAAAAGAAUAAAGAAAAUGAACAGGCUUUAAAAAGUUGGGUCAUAACCUUCCUACAGAAGGUAACCUUCCAAGUCACUUGGUGCCAUCAGCAGGUUGUAUGCCCCUUGAGUUCCCCAUCCAGAGGGGAAUACCAUCUUCAUCUCUCUCCCUUCUAGCUCCAUCACAAAGCAAAUUGAAGACACUGAAAUAUACUUUUGAAACAAUGAUGUUAAAUCAAGCUUGCAAUCCAAAACAAUGAUGUUUUUGCUCUGUGUUUAUAGCAUAUUUGAACAGGUUCAUAACCAUGGACAACUCUCUGGAAAUUCUGCUAUUAGCAGGGUUUAAGCGUUUACCUAAGUAAGGCAGAAUGUUUUGAGAGG
Molecule: long non-coding RNA, 490 nt
Organism: Cygnus olor (mute swan)
Lineage: Eukaryota; Metazoa; Chordata; Aves; Anseriformes; Anatidae
Exons: 4
Source: RefSeq, a predicted model, not a curated record